GCAACAUAGAGGGAGUGUUUGUGUUGGGCUGAACGUCCUAGUAGCGUUUAUAAGCUAAAACGCACAUCAUUGCAUGCCAUAAUUGGACAUCACAGCACAGAGAGCGGACAUCAUAGCCAAGAAGGAUUCUGCCAAGUAAAGAAAUCCAAAAUGGCAAUGAAAAUGUUAUGUCUUACCCUGAUGUUAGUCGGAGCGUUAGUGCUUUCUGUGGAGUGCAGUUUAGAAAACUCAGAAUAUCAAGAUAUGGAUGCUAAAGCCGAUUCAUAUCGACCAAGACCAGGAAAACGAGCUCAUUUCGAAUAUAAAGAUUCACCACCUGUAUUCUCGAUGUUCAGACCAGGAAGAAAACGCUUUAUGGAAAACAAAUUGUAAAUCACUUGAUGGAGGGACAAUUAUCCACGAAUUAUUACAAUAGAGAUCACCUCUGUUAACUAAUGUUAUAGCUGACUUGAUUUUGAAUCAUGUUAUUAUAGUUUGAAAUUCAAAAAUAAAUAAAGGAAAAGCUUGAAAUUCC
This is a long non-coding RNA of Exaiptasia diaphana, 514 nucleotides long. RefSeq lists it as uncharacterized. The record is from RefSeq and is a predicted model, not a curated record. The transcript has 7 exons. Lineage: Eukaryota; Metazoa; Cnidaria; Anthozoa; Actiniaria; Aiptasiidae.